This 496-nucleotide ribosomal RNA is filed under the name uncultured bacterium. RNAcentral's name for it is "partial 16S ribosomal RNA". It matches the Rfam family "Bacterial small subunit ribosomal RNA", at positions 28 to 506 of the family's 1533-position model. The record is from RNAcentral.
GAUGAACGCUGGCGGCGUGCCUAAUACAUGCAAGUCGAGCGAACAGACGAGGAGCUUGCUCCUCUGACGUUAGCGGCGGACGGGUGAGUAACACGUGGAUAACCUACCUAUAAGACUGGGAUAACUUCGGGAAACCGGAGCUAAUACCGGAUAAUAUAUUGAACCGCAUGGUUCAAUAGUGAAAGACGGUUUUGCUGUCACUUAUAGAUGGAUCCGCGCCGCAUUAGCUAGUUGGUAAGGUAACGGCUUACCAAGGCAACGAUGCGUAGCCGACCUGAGAGGGUGAUCGGCCACACUGGAACUGAGACACGGCCCAGACUCCUACGGGAGGCAGCAGUAGGGAAUCUCCCGCAUUGGGCGAAAGCCUGCCGGAGCAACGCGGCGUGAGUGAUGAAGGUCUUCGGAUCGUAAAACUCUGUUAUUGGGGAAGAACAAAUGUGUAAGUAACUAUGCACGUCUUGACGGUACCAAAUCAGAAAGCCACGGCUAACUACGG